UCAUUUGUAAAACCUCCCCUAGAACAGUUAAUUCCCAGGAACACCUGGAAGGGUUCUCCACAUGGCUGAAAUUGAAACCCAUGGCAUAAACAGUGAUGGAAACAUUCGUGUGACCCUCCCUUGAGUAGCAAAAUUGCUGAGCAUAGCAUAUCCCUGAAGCACAUGGGGCCUCUCUUAUUUUAAACUGUAACCAUGAAAUAGGAAAAAAGCCCAGUGAACCAAAAGCUUCUGCCUUUUUAUUUUUGUUCUUAACAUGUAGAAAUAGAAGCACCUGCUGCCUGCUGGGCUCAUUAAAUGUCUUUUUAUUUUCAUAAAUCACCAGGUAGAAUUUGAAUUAUUUACUCGGUAAACUCGAGGCUACAUUAAUUUCCAUUCUCCAAUUUUUUGUAACCAAUUUUUUGCACAUUAGCUUUGGAGCUGUUUCCCACCCACCUUUUGUUCAGUGCCCACCUUGGCUUCCCAAGCAGGGUCCCUCCCCUUGGUGACUGCAGGGGUUUCGUGAACUUCAAAAGCAGCCUGAAAUGUCAGCCACACGCAGCCUUUCUGCAGCCGCUAAAUUAUGGAUCAGAAUACAGCAGAUCAAACAGUUCAGAAUUAUUCACUUGUGGGUCUUUGCUUGGUAAAGCAAUAAAAAUCUCUGCAUUUCUUCUUUGGUAAUAUGUGGGGUGGUUGUUUUACAUGCUCGAGAGUAAUGUUAUCAGGGGUAUGGGGGUGUGUAUGUAAUUUUUUUUUUUUUAAGCGAGGCACUUCAAUCAAAGCUUCAUUCUACUGUAAACCCAAUUAGCUUCAGUCUGCCAAGUCAGCUUGACUGUCUGCAAGAAUGUAUGUAAGGCUAUGAAUAAUUGCUAAAGUCAAGUUUUCUUUCUAUCUAAGAAAUGCCAUGAGGCUUUUGUUACCACUAGAUAAACCCUCUGCACUUGUCUCUGAGGUUCCAGCUGACGACACCCGUUCAAAAAUCAUAAAUGUGUUUGAAUAGUAUUCUGUGUGUCAAGAGGCUCAGUAAAAAGCAAGUGCUUGCUUUGCUUUGGAGCAGAAGGUUGCUGAACCCAGAUCCAGGGCUCCUCCAAACACUCGGAUUUUGCCAUUAGCUUUAGUGGGAGGAGGACUGAGAAUUUACAUAGCUUUAUUGCAUGUGGCUGCAGAAUAAGCCCAUUACUGUAGGAAAACAGUAGCAGGGCUGUCCCCUGUGUUAUACAAGAGGAAAGGUUGGAAAAUUAAACGCUCCAACAAUACGUGUGGAAAAUGGGUCACCUACUUUGUGCGAGGAAGCGCACAGGAUGCUCUCGCUGUAUUUUAAUAUGCCGCAUGCUGGUUUCUAGCAGUUUGGACGUGGUUGCACAGCCGGGUCGGUAUCAUGUGAGACUAUCGGGCUGUGCUGGUGUAUGGGGUGCUGGUUAAUCGACACCCCUGGCUGGGGGGGACAGCCAGCGGGCUGGGUGGUUAGGGAUGAUAUCGGAGGUGUCUAUGGGACUCGGCUGCUCAACCCACCCAAACCCACGUGGAGAGGGAGCUGUUGGCAUCACCUGCUGUGAAUUGCUUCCAGGGUUCCUCCCCAUCGCUAAGGUAUGUGCUGUGGAUCCUCUUGCUUUUGGCCAGCUGGUGAAUAGAGGAUGUAUUUCCUAAGAUAAGAAGGGUUGGCCAUGUUGAUAUAUUCAGUUCGUUUAAAGAGAACAUGGCUUCCCCAUCUGCAAUGGGUUCCCCCUUAAAUAUUUACUUGCCUUUCCACUGUGCAUGCAUAAUAUCCCUAUUUUUCCCUCUCCAUCUAUAGGCCACCUAAAAAGUUGUCAGAUGGUGGCAAGUCAUCCAUCUAACUUGAGUUGAGGGUCCCCUUCUCAUUUUUGAAAUUGGACCGUGAUUUCUGUUCACGUCCCUCAAGGAUGGUCAUAUUCCAAUGACAUCUUGAAGACUCUCCAACUGUUUUCUUUCCAAAAAAAUUAUCGUUUAAUUUAUUUUCCUUCAAGUCUAAGGUUCAGAAAGUGAUAUAAUACUCCAUGUGAUGGCCAUUGGUGGUGAGCUGUGUGACAAGAUGUCGAUGCUUCAGGGAAAAGGUUGCAAGAUUUGAAGAUGUUCAGAUUUGUAUUACUUAAGUGUUAACUGAUGUGUAUUUACACUGACACACACAUACAGGCAGCAUUUUUUUCCAGAUAUGGCAUUAUAUAAAGCAUCACAACAUUAUUCCAUUUGUCUUUUGUGAUGUCUGCCAAAAGUGAUAUGCUUGCACUAAGACUGAAAAACUUAGAUAUGAAAAUAUUUCCAAUUUUACAGGGGAAGAUACGAUUUUGACUAAUUUUGUUACAGCAGGUACGUAAGUGGAUGCCUGUCUUGACAACUAUGAACUAAGUUGCACAAAGUAGGAGUGACAGUGUGAUUCCCAGCAGCAGAAGUCAGUGCCACACUGGUUUGUCACAGCUCCAGCUUCCCUUUUCCUACAUGAAUAACGGUGGUGUCUGUUAUCCCCCGUACACAGUGAUCUGUCAACAACUACUUUCUCAAUUACUUCUAGUGUGUAUGUGGGGGUGGCACGCAGGAGCAGGUGAUACCUGAUAAUAGUACAUUAUCAAGAGGUGAAGGUUUCAUUUUCUUCAAAUAGAAACCAUGUCUGAAUAGCUGCAAGACUCCCAGACACUGUGAAAUCUAGAGGGAAAUUUUAGUCUUAGCUCUUUCUGUGCGAUUAUCUAAAAAACACACACACGUCCCUUUUCUUUUGAAAAAUGUAUUGACAGACCGAUGACUACUGCUCCUAUAUCUGGGUGUGAACAACAAUAUAGAGCCCAAGAAGGCUGGGUGGUCCUCUAGUGGCUCUUCCAAGCAGCGUAAAGCACCAUGUAAUAUAUAGGAAUAGGGGGGCAGCCCUCAAAAAUAGCCGUGAGAGGAGUUUCAGUCGAUGGAGGACUGGUCCCAGGCAGCUCUUGCUCAGUAGUUGUUUGUUGCUGCUAGGGAAUUAAAACCACAGGUUAAUGUGAUGAGCAGUAAUUCAACAUCAUGAUUCAGUUGGAUCCUGCCAGUACUUGAGGACAUGACCACAGCAAUGUUUGCGCUGUCAGUCCUUGGAUCCUCACUUCUUGCCAGGCAGACCUCAUCACUUCGUUUUUGCCUGGAGGCUCUUCAGAGCACCCGCUGUUCAUCUUGGUCCUUGGUUCUGGUGGCAUCCAAAUUUCUGUACUCCAACUCUGAUCUUCCUGGAUUUCUGACUUGGAAAAUACCUUUGCAGUGCAGUACCUGCUCAGAAGUUUCUACCAGCAGGAGACUUUCAAUCGGCAUUCAGUGGUACAGCUCAGGGUGGUCUGUGACUAAGCUGGAAAUGCUUGAAGGAAUAUUGGGUGGGUAAGUAGGGAUGACUACUCUGCAUUUUUACUUGCAUGGGGUCUAGCUGAGAUUUAGCUAUGUUUUCUGUCUCCCGUGAGCAAGAGCAAAGGGAGAUGAAAGAGCAAGAAAGGAAGACAGUGAUAAGUCUAAAGUUAACAGCAUUACUGACCGGGAGAUGGAAGCAGACCCCGAGUUUAGCAGGGUAAGCAGCACGCUCUUCCUCCUUCACCUGGGACCGAUUCCCUUGUGCUGCAUCACCUGGGAGAUCCCAACGGUAUAAACACAUCAGGACUUCAGAGUAGAAAGACGGGGAAGAAAAGUUUAAACUGGGCAUGUUGUGCUCCCUAUACUUGGACAAAUCAUAAUGAGACAUGGCCCUACCAUCACAGAACAAGCAGUCCAUGGCCAAGUGCCUCGCUUUUUAACGUUGUCACUAGUUGAAGUUGCUUUGAAGACAUCUCCUUAAAAAAGCAUCUCAUCCCAUUCAUACCCACUGA
Molecule: long non-coding RNA, 3803 nt
Organism: Harpia harpyja (harpy eagle)
Lineage: Eukaryota; Metazoa; Chordata; Aves; Accipitriformes; Accipitridae
Exons: 3
Source: RefSeq, a predicted model, not a curated record